UCUGUAUUGUAAGUAUGUCCCAUGCAAUAUUUUGGGACAUACUUAUGCUAAAA
Molecule: microRNA precursor, 53 nt
Filed under: Ailuropoda melanoleuca (giant panda)
Lineage: Eukaryota; Metazoa; Chordata; Mammalia; Carnivora; Ursidae
Description: mir-1302
Source: RNAcentral